This 606-nucleotide ribosomal RNA is filed under the name uncultured bacterium. RNAcentral's name for it is "bacterial SSU rRNA". It matches the Rfam family "Bacterial small subunit ribosomal RNA", at positions 248 to 848 of the family's 1533-position model. The record is from RNAcentral.
GUUGGUGUGGUAAUGGCGCACCAAGGCAACGAUGGGUAGCUGGUCUGAGAGGAUGGUCAGCCACACUGGGACUGAGAUACGGCCCAGACUCCUACGGGGGGCAGCAGUCUAGAGGCUUCGUCAAUGCCCGAAAGGGUGAACGAGCGACGCCGCGUGCGGGAUGAAGGUCUUCGGAUCGUAAACCGCUUUUAUUAGGAAAGAAGAUUAUGCUCGUGAAGCAUAGUUUGACGGUACCUGAUGAAUAAGCCUCGGCUAACUCCGUGCCAGCAGCCGCGGUAAUACGGAGGAGGCGAGCGUUGUUCGGAAUCAUUGGGCGUAAAGGGCUUGUAGGCGGACAGGUGUGUCUGGCGUGAAAUCUCCACUGCUUACCAGGGAGGGUGCGUUGGAAACUGCUUGUCUGGAGUAUGACAGAGGGUCGCGGAAUUCCGGGUGUAGCGGUGGAAUGCGUAGAUAUCCGGAGGAACACCGGUGGCGAAGGCGGCGGCCUGGGUCAAUACUGACGCUGAGGAGCGAAAGCUAGGGUAGCAAACAGGCUUAGAUACCCUGGUAGUCCUAGCUGUAAACUGUGGAUACUAGGUGUGGGAGGUAUCGACCCCUUCUGCGCCG